Molecule: long non-coding RNA, 1509 nt
Organism: Trichomycterus rosablanca
Lineage: Eukaryota; Metazoa; Chordata; Actinopteri; Siluriformes; Trichomycteridae
Exons: 8
Source: RefSeq, a predicted model, not a curated record
AGAGCUACUGAGGAGAGCGUCAAUUACAUGCAAAUUAGGCGAUGACGUCAUUUAGCGACUUUUAGGACAGCCAAUAGCUGCUUUCCUUACUGAGGAGUGGGCAACACUGAAGGCGGGCCCGAGGCGAGCUUUCUCUCUCAUCUGCUUUUUCCUCUACACAUCCGGUUCCCCCCUGAUGAAUCCGUUGUAGCCGAGAUUCCUCCACCAGAAUUCAGUAUGGCACCGAGUAGUACCAGAACACCAGGCAGUGAGGCCUUAUGUCCAGUGUGCGGAAUACAUUUUCUGCUGGAUUGUAUAGAAAUUCAUGCCAGCUCAUGUGGAGAAAGAAGAGAUAGAGCUUCUUUCAUUUUGGAUGAUGUCCACAGAACUAAGACGAUUGAAAGGUGGGGUCGGCCACAGACUGCACAAUUAAUGACCUAACAGAGGAAAUAUUAAGUUGUGGUUACACUGGACCAAUAAGCCUGGAGGUGAAGGAUGACAUUGUCUGAUGAAAAUCCACCACCUAUGGUUGAGACAACUGGUCUGCCCUCCCUUAGUCCAAAAACAUUCCUUCAGUGGCUCACAGGACAGGGACACAUUCCUGUUCUGGCAGAAGAAAAAAGGCAGAUGAAUGAAGAAAUCCUUCAUCCACCAACCGGUGUAAUGUGAUUAAGGACAGGACGAGACACUAAAGGUCACACGGACACGGAGAACAUGCGCUGGAGCAGGUGCUGGGCCAGGUGCCGGGGCAGGCGCUGGAGCAGGUGCCAAGGAGGGUGCAGAACUAGGUGCCAAGGUAGUCACUGGAGCAGCUGCCAAGGCAGGUGAUGGGCCAGGUGCUGGGGCAGGCGCUAGUGCAGGUGCCAAAGUAGGCUCUGGAGCAGGUUCAGGGACAGGCUCUGGAGCAGGUUCAGGGACGGGCUCUGGAGCAGCUGCUGGGCCAGGUUCAGGGACGGGCUCUGGAGCAGCUGCUGGGCCAGGUUCAGGGACUGGCUCUGGAGCAGCUGCUGGGCCAGGUUCAGGGACGGGCUCUGGAGCAGCUGCUGGGCCAGGUUCAGGGACGGGCUCUGGAGCAGCUGCUGGGGAACGCGCCUCAUGUUCUUCAUCUGCUGCCACCUGUAAAAAAAAAUACCAGAGGUUACCGCUGCAGCUGCUAUGCCAGCCACAUAAACCGCUGGCUUACAAUCGAGAAAAGACUUUAAAAACAUCGCUGCUGAGUCUAAAUCGUCCUGAGAGAUGAGAGGAGAGAUGAUCGCUGUGCGUCCGUCCUCGUCCACUGUCAGUUAAAGACCGAACGAUCAGCUCACUGCUCCGCUUUAUAUAGAGCUCAGGUUCGUUUCAUUUCAUCGGUCACCUACCAUAUAUAUAUGUAUACGUGUGUGUGUGUAUGUGUAUAUAUAUAUAUAUAUAUAUAUAUAUAUAUAUACACUUCCCUCCAAGAGUAUUGGAACAGUGAGGCCAAUCCCUUUAUUUUCGCUGUAGACUGAAAACAUUUGGGUUUGACAUUAAAAGAUGACUAUGAGGCAAAAC